Molecule: long non-coding RNA, 391 nt
Organism: Pezoporus flaviventris
Lineage: Eukaryota; Metazoa; Chordata; Aves; Psittaciformes; Psittacidae
Exons: 3
Source: RefSeq, a predicted model, not a curated record
CACAGCCAGGAUGAGCUGGUGGAUGGAGCUGCUGCCAGCAGGCCAGUGCUACACAAGCCUCUUCUUGUAUCACAACCCAUGGAUCUAGCCCAAGGAAGUCAACCUAGCUCUUGAGGAUGGUCAUACCCAUCCAGCAUCCAAGCUGAAACCAGACAUCACUGCAGUGAUUUAUUCACUCUUGACUCACCAAGGUGAGGGCAUCACUAGCCAAAGAGAACACCAAAGCUUUCUCCAACAUGCACAGCACAUGCCAGUCAAUGCUGCUUACGGAGCUCAUGCAUUCAGCCAGCCCUUGGAGAAGCACUGCACAGACCGGGGAGGCUGUGCUCCAGAUAAAAGCAGCUUCAUCAUCUCACUACUGCUAGAAGCUUCAUUCAAAAAGAAAGCAUAG